GAUGAACGCUGGCGGCGUGCCUAAUACAUGCAAGUCGAGCGAACAGACGAGAAGCUUGCUUCUCUGACGUUAGCGGCGGACGGGUGAGUAACACGUGGAUAACCUACCUAUAAGACUGGGAUAACUUCGGGAAACCGGAGCUAAUACCGGAUGAUAUAUUGAACCGCAUGGUUCAAUAGUGAAAGACGGUUUUGCUGUCACUUAUAGAUGGAUCCGCGCGGCAUUAGCUAGUUGGUAAGGUAACGGCUUACCAAGGCAACGAUGCGUAGCCGACCUGAGAGGGUGAUCGGCCACACUGGAACUGAGACACGGUCCAGACUCCUACGGGAGGCAGCAGUAGGGAAUCUUCCGCAAUGGGCGAAAGCCUGACGGAGCAACGCCGCGUGAGUGAUGAAGGUCUUCGGAUCGUAAAACUCUGUUAUUAGGGAAGAACAAAUGUGUAAGUAACUAUGCACGUCUUGACGGUACCUAAUCAGAAAGCCACGGCUAACUACGUG
RNAcentral lists this ribosomal RNA (497 nucleotides) under uncultured bacterium. Its description in RNAcentral is "partial 16S ribosomal RNA". It matches the Rfam family "Bacterial small subunit ribosomal RNA", at positions 28 to 507 of the family's 1533-position model. The record is from RNAcentral.